RNAcentral lists this ribosomal RNA (468 nucleotides) under uncultured bacterium. Its description in RNAcentral is "partial 16S ribosomal RNA". It matches the Rfam family "Bacterial small subunit ribosomal RNA", at positions 28 to 507 of the family's 1533-position model. The record is from RNAcentral.
GACGAACGCUGGCGGCGUGCUUAACACAUGCAAGUCGAACGGAAAGGCCCUGCUUUUGUGGGGUGCUCGAGUGGCGAACGGGUGAGUAACACGUGAGUAACCUGCCCUUGACUUUGGGAUAACUUCAGGAAACUGGGGCUAAUACCGGAUAGGAGCUCCUGCUGCAUGGUGGGGGUUGGAAAGUUUCGGCGGUUGGGGAUGGACUCGCGGCUUAUCAGCUUGUUGGUGGGGUAGUGGCUUACCAAGGCUUUGACGGGUAGCCGGCCUGAGAGGGUGACCGGCGACAUUGGGACUGCGGUACGGCCCAGACUCCUACGGGAGGCAGUAGUGGGGAAUAUUGCACAGUGGGCGGAAGCCUGAUGCAGCAACGCCGCGUGCGGGAUGACGGCCUUCGGGUUGUAAACCGCUUUCGCCUGUGACGAAGCGUGAGUGACGGUAAUGGGUAAAGAAGCACCGGCUAACUACGUG